Paramuricea clavata is the source of this 499-nucleotide non-coding RNA. Lineage: Eukaryota; Metazoa; Cnidaria; Anthozoa; Malacalcyonacea; Plexauridae. The record is from the annotation of a GenBank genome assembly.
GUGUUUAAGAAUUUACUGGAAUUUAUUCGUAUAGUAAAUUCAAAGGUGGAGCUCAUGCUGAUCGGGCCUUUCAGAACCGGAAAUCGGGCUGGAGCACGCGUUCGUUCUUUUGAUUUUGCAAAAGGAGCACGACAAAUGGCAAAAUUCGCACGGUGCCAGUUCGCAAAAACAACUGCAAACUGCUCCAAUUCUUUCCGUCACUUUCAUUUGAUCUUAUCCGUGAUUCUGCCUCAACGGCCUUUGAUUUGUGCUUCCCACAUUAUGACGCCAUACCACAUGUGCAUCAUCUAUAACUGAACAGACAACGGCAAAAUCUUAUCUAUAUUUGUUAAUAUAGUUUACAUGCAUAGUUUAUACAAACAGAUGUUUUACAGUAAAGAUGCUCAGGAAUUGCAAAUGCCUUGAGUAACGAGCAAAUGCCUUGAGUGCGCACCUUCCCUCAAAAUCCGACCAUGGUAAUCACCAAGUUUUCUUAACAAAACCAAAAUCGACUUCGUUC